Small nuclear RNA from Phyllostomus discolor (pale spear-nosed bat), 104 nucleotides. The record is from RefSeq and is a predicted model, not a curated record. NCBI's taxonomy places the organism in Eukaryota, Metazoa, Chordata, Mammalia, Chiroptera, Phyllostomidae.
GUACUUGCUUUGGCAGCACAUAUGCUAAAAUUGAAAUAAUACAGAGAUUAGCAUGGCCCCUGCAUAAGAAUGACAUGCAAAUUCAUGAAGUAUUCCAUGUUUUG